Molecule: long non-coding RNA, 2528 nt
Organism: Quercus robur (English oak)
Lineage: Eukaryota; Viridiplantae; Streptophyta; Magnoliopsida; Fagales; Fagaceae
Exons: 11
Source: RefSeq, a predicted model, not a curated record
UUUUUUGGGGGUGUUGGGGUUGGGAUAUUUGUUUGCUUCCUCACAUGUUGGUGUGAAGACUGACUUUUUAAAGUCAGAACUCAGAAGAACACAAGAAUGACUGAACGAGUAUAACUUUUUGUACAUGCACAAAUGUGAAGGUAGAUUGGAUUGAGUUUUUAUAUGUUAUUCAAUGAAAUAUUACUAAUUAAGGAUUUUCAUCUCACUUGUAUUCCAAUUAAGACUUAGGAUAACACCAUUUUUCUUUUCAUUUUCUCUGUCGUUGGUAUUUUGUCUAUUUCACUACCUCCUAAAGUAUAGCCUUUGCUUCUUAACUUUUAGUUGUGCAGUCUCUCUUCGAACUAUGGGCAACAUGACGCAUGUUCUUUUUUAUAAUCACUGGAAAGUAAAGGGGGCGAGGACAGUGUAAUGGAUGGAUAGAGUGUAUGGAGUUUUUAGGCCAAAGAGAGCUAGGAGUAAGAAUGGCUGAGCUGUGAUGGGUAAGAGAGGCUAUUUGAUUAAAUGUCCCAAAUUGGAAGGUAUUGGAGCAGACAAUAAAAAUGGAGCAACAACAUCAACCUACUUUCCCCUCUCACAAUUAGAGGUUUAAGGCUUAUAUCAGAUUAACGAUUUAAAAUCUCUUCUAGAGAAGAGGCUGCAGAACCUCAUUUCUCUCCGGGAAGUCUAUAUAAAAAGGUGCAAUGGUCUGGGUUUUCUCCAUUGGAUAGGCAUCCUCACAUCACUACAAAGCCUUAACAUUUAGGAAUGUCCCAAACUAAUGUCACUUCCUCAAGGGAUUCGCAAUCUCGCAUCUUUAUAUGAACUAGGAAUUGAUAAUUGUCCCAAUCUGAUGUCACUUCCUAAUGGGAGUCACAAUCUCACCCCUUUAAAAAAGUUGGAAAUUCUUGAUUAUCCCCUCUAACAGCAAAGAUGCAAGAGGCAAACAGGUGAAGAUUGGCCCAUCAUUGCUCAUGUCCCAUACGCGUAUGUGGAUGGUUUGAUCCACCAAGAAGAAACAAUAUUUCAGAAUCAGAGUCAGAGUCAGUUUGUUAACACUCUAAGAGGAGGACUUAAUCUAGCAACUACCAUUGCAGGAAUUAGCUUAUUUUCAGGUUGUUACACUCAAAACAGCACCCAAGUUUUAGAACUUUUGGUUUUUCCAGUGGUUGGUAAUUGGCAGUUUCUCUCUCUGCUAAAGCCGUGGCCCUUGCUUUUGAAUUUUGGCCUUGGGGUCCCUAUGUGAACAUGAGGCAGAAAACAUGAAUAUAGGAGGGAAAGAGUUCGAUCGGUUGGCAUCUUUAACUACUUCAGAACAAAUUAAGGCAACAACUAAGCUGGUGCAAAGUUUGGACCCUAUUCAAAACCUUCUGGCCCUGAAAUUGUGCAACAAGUCAUGAACUCAAGUGAUUAAAUCUUUUGGAUCUUGUGGCACCUGCUACUGCUACAGCCUCUACCUCAUCUCCAAAUAUAUCAAGAUACUUCAAAACUUCCAUUAUUGUAUGAAUGAAAACUGAGCAUCCAACUACCUUGUGGGAAUUAGCUUAUUAUUCCAGGUCGCUGCAACAAUUUCUUUGAAAUAAGUGCAAAGUGUGAAGAUGAUCCUAUCUUUGUGUAAUAUGGAGAGGAAAGAAAAGGGAGAAUUUUGGUUGAAUUCCACUUGGAGGAGUACCUUGCCUUUUCACCUGAAUUCUACUGUUACAUUUUGUUGUUAAGCAAGUUUUGAGAAGCCUUCAGAAAAGGCAAUUUUACAUAUUUCUCACAACAAUUGAAGUUAAAUCCAACUAGGUUACAUUUUGUCCUAAAAAAAAAAAAAAAGAAGUUAAAUCCAACUAAUUCCUUCCACUUUAAGUGUAAGAUACUUGGAGCCUCUGUUCUCGUUUUGCCGACUAAUUGCUUCAAUGUUGGACAGCUAUUCUUAUGGGUUAUUAGAGUGCAAAAUAGAGAUGGCGGUUCCAUUGAGCGCACAACUUGUCUCAUAACUCCUUUUCCAUGAGAGGGAUAUCAACCACUAUGAUUGUGAAGUUAACUAUUGGAGGGUCAUCAAAAGGGGAUUAUUCACCGUUAAUACAGAGCAAAUUUUAUGUCAAGUCUGGAAUUUGACUUAUUACAAGGAAGAUGGUGAAGAUCACAUAAUAAUGUGGAUUGGUCAUUGUUCUCGUUUGAAAAAGUAUUAGUCAUCUUCAACAGUUGUGCCAGAGAAUGAGAACAAUUUAACAGAUCCAUUCAUUUCAUUAGGAAUGCUGAGUCUGCAAUUCUCAACUUGUUUAAUGUUGCUGUCAGUUAGACUAUCAAAUGUUUCAUUUCUUCAACAGUUGCGCCAGAGAAUGAGAACAAUUGAACAAAUCCAUUCAUUUCAUUAGGAAUGCUGAAUUUGCAAUUCUCAACUUGUUUGAUGUUGCUGUCAGUUUGACUAUCAAAUAUUUCAUUUCUUCUUCAAAUUUUAUGAUUUGGGUGGCCAGCUUUGUGUGGCAUUUUCGUAUGAAACCAGUUUAUUAGGUUCUUCUUUGCUACCUGGAUUUGAUUAUAGCUAGAGUGCUCUCCAUUGUCCA